UAUGAGGGAAAAUAAGGAACUGCAGAAGAAAAUGAAAGACAAUCCAGAAAGUGAGAUCAUUUUACUUUAACAACAUUUUAAUUGUUUUCAUUCAAAAAAGAAAAGUGAUUUAUUUAAUCUUAAGUUUGACUGUAGAAGUUCUAGUUCUUUUGUUAUUUUUUUGCCAGGAGAUGUAGACAGAGAUGAGGAAAUUAACUACAAGGUACUAAAGGAGAAAUAUGAGAAGUACCAGAAAGCCAUCAGAAGAGCGAAGACUGUAAGUAUCGUACAUAACAGUAAGAAAUCAGAACAACCUCUUUAAGUGAGAUUUUAAAUACAUUAAAAGUUAAUUUUGAUUGUACUUCAUCAAUUUCUUUUUAUAGGAGGUCUCAAAAGAAAUUGAGAAACAGAAAGAACUGGCAAGGGCUUGGGAGCAGGCAAUUGAUGAUGUCUGCUCCCAUCUCAUAUCCCUACCUGUCCAAGAAAGACCAAGGCGGCAAGAUUUGUCCUUCCGUUUCUUGGAGAGAAAUAGACGUGUUUCAAUUGAUGACUCACUACUUUGUUCUAAAAUAUUUGUUUAACAUUUUCAGUCUCUGCCAGAAAAGAGUCCAAAGAGACACCUGAUUGUAUACAAAAGUGGAUUCAAAGACACCUGUACUCCUUUUUGGGACUCCCUCUGCUUAUGGUUUAAUACAACCAGGGACAACCAGGACCAGCUGGAUUGCUGUGACUAAGAGACGCAGUCAUGUGGCAUAGAUUUUGCACCUCUUCAUUUAACAACAGUGGCAAUUUGUCCACAUUUCAUACCAUUGGAAAUUGUAACAUGAUGACUACCUUUAUGAUGAAAAUUCUUUUUCACCACCAAUUAUUCUCCUGAAGAAAUUGCUUUUGACAUCCCCUUCUUGUCUGGAAAACAAAGUGAGGAAAAGCCUUCCAGCAAUUUGAAUGUGAUGCAGGUGAUUGUGCCCUGUAAGUUUCUGUCCUGAGUACUUGGGAUGUUAACAAAGAAGAACCCAAGAACACCCAGGUGGAAGACAUCAAGCAUUCUUUGGACAAUAUCCAUUCCAGCCAAGUUAAUCUUUUCCAUCUGGCCAAAUGUCCAACCUCUUCUUCACUAAAGGAGCCAGACGAACAAUGUCUCUUUCAUAAAAAUUUGGUGAGACAUAAUUAAAAGACAUGCAUUCCAGCUCAGUCAUUGCUUGGGCUACAGGAACCUUGCUAGGUUUUGGAGUUCUUGGACAUUUGGUGGAAAAUAUUCAGGACUCAUGGCUUCUGGCUGAGGAACCAAGGCCAGUAACAAAAGUAACUCAAAUUGUAAAGGCAGGGGGAGUUGGCAGCAGAUGAAGUCAGCACAGAAUGUUGUUCGC
Pseudonaja textilis is the source of this 1346-nucleotide non-coding RNA. Lineage: Eukaryota; Metazoa; Chordata; Lepidosauria; Squamata; Elapidae. The record is from RefSeq and is a predicted model, not a curated record.